GAUGAACGCUAGCUACAGGCUUAACACAUGCAAGUCGAGGGGCAGCAUGAUUGAAGCUUGCUUCAAUCGAUGGCGACCGGCGCACGGGUGAGUAACACGUAUCCAACCUGCCGAUAACUCGGGGACAGCCUUUCGAAAGAAAGAUUAAUACCCGAUAGUAUAGUAUUUCCGCAUGGUUUCACUAUUAAAGAACUUCGGUUAUCGAUGGGGAUGCGUUCCAUUAGAUAGUUGGCGGGGUAACGGCCCACCAAGUCAACGAUGGAUAGGGGUUCUGAGAGGAAGGUCCCCCACAUUGGAACUGAGACACGGUCCAAACUCCUACGGGAGGCAGCAGUGAGGAAUAUUGGUCAAUGGACGAGAGUCUGAACCAGCCAAGUAGCGUGAAGGAUGACUGCCCUAUGGGUUGUAAACUUCUUUUAUACGGGAAUAAAGUGGAGUAUGCAUACUCCUUUGUAUGUACCGGAUGAAUAAGGAUCGGCUAACUCCGUG
RNAcentral lists this ribosomal RNA (489 nucleotides) under uncultured bacterium. RNAcentral describes it as "partial 16S ribosomal RNA". It matches the Rfam family "Bacterial small subunit ribosomal RNA", at positions 28 to 507 of the family's 1533-position model. The record is from RNAcentral.